GCGAGUCUGAACAGGGCGCUCAGUUCGUAGGAUUAGACCCGAAACCGGGUGAUCUAGCCAUGGGCAGGCUGAAGGUGAGGUAACACUCACUGGAGGGCCGAACCCACGUUCGUUGAAAAGAACGGGGAUGACCUGUGGUUAGGGGUGAAAGGCCAAUCAAACCCGGAGAUAGCUGGUUCUCCGCGAAAACUAUUUAGGUAGUG
Molecule: ribosomal RNA, 203 nt
Filed under: Alexandrium margalefii
Lineage: Eukaryota; Dinophyceae; Gonyaulacales; Pyrocystaceae
Description: partial Bacterial large subunit ribosomal RNA
Rfam family: Bacterial large subunit ribosomal RNA
Source: RNAcentral